GUGCAGCCGGGCUGUCCGCAGCAUGAAGCUGUCUUCUGACAGGCUUGUCUUUGUAGGCUGCCUGCCUGCCUGCCGGCCGCCUGCGGAAGUCCUCCCUGGGGCCUUUGCCGCCCCGGAGCUGCCAGGCAUCGCGGGCGCGCGCGCGCGCACACACAGAGGACCUGCGAACCGACCAGCUUCUCGGAGGGGAUGGGGUCGCGUGGUUGCCAGGACGUGGCGAUAAGAAGCAUCACUCGGAGGCCCGUUUCACGUAGAAGGGGUUUUCUUUUACUACCCUCGGAUGACUUCCUUCGUCACGCGUGGAUCUGCUCUAAGGCUGCCUGCCUGCCUGCCGGCCGCCUGCGGAAGUCCUCCCUGGGGCCUUUGCCGCCCCGGAGCUGCCAGGCAUCGCGGGCGCGCGCGCGCGCACACACACAGAGGACCUGCGAACCGACC
RNAcentral lists this long non-coding RNA (435 nucleotides) under Castor canadensis (American beaver). RNAcentral describes it as "lncRNA (ENSCCNG00000028303.1)". Lineage: Eukaryota; Metazoa; Chordata; Mammalia; Rodentia; Castoridae. The record is from RNAcentral.